AUUGGAGCUUCACCAGGUCUAUGACAUGGAGCUGCCAUCUCUAUGAUGAAAGCAGAGUUGCUCAUGUCUGAAACUUCUGGUCAUGAUCUAAAUCAUUCUCUUCACAUUAAGGUGGGAGAAAUAGAGUUAAGAGAAUAGGGCCAGGGCCGAGGAGCCCUAGAAACCAGCACAUGGUGGAGUCUGAAAGUCAACUCUGACUUCUAGUCCAGCCUGGAUGUUGUUGGGGGAAAACAGGGUACUUAGAGAUGCUUAGCAAUGAGAAACAAAGUCCUCUUCCACCCACUUGUUCUCUUUGGAAGCACAAAACAAAAAUGACACCCAAGCUGCAUAACCAGGUGCUUCUUCUCCUAUCCAGGGUGCAGGAGCUCCUGAUUUUCUAAAAUAUGUCAACUCCCAGCUGACUUUUCUGCAUAUAUUUAAAUAAGUGGACACUUACCGAUACAUCUUGUUCUCUGUAACACAAAUAAUUUCCUUCACAGAUGAUGAAAUAUAAAAUUGUAAGUGCCAAAAUAUGGAAGUAGGAAAAUGGAAAGAUGAAGGACUUAUACAGAAUGAGUCCAGGGAAGUUGAGCACCAAGAAACAGAGACAUUUUCCCCGCUGUGCCAGAAGAGCCACGGUCAGGACAAGGUGGAGUAUGAGCAUGGCUGAGUGCAGUGCACUAAGCUCCAGAACAGAAAUAGAAAAGAGUGAGCAGUGUGCAUUACCCUCCAAGGGGGAGCCAGGGGUGACUUUCAGAAGAGCCCAUCACUUCAUACAAGGAUCUCAAAUAGAAAACACAUAGGCCCUCAUAAAAUAUAAAUGUGGAAGAAAAGAUAUGAUUUAAGAUUGUCCAGUUUGUUUUAUUAAAUCAUAUCUUUAGGAUCUCAGCAAUGAGGGACAGGAAAUGUGGGCAGCAUCAACAUUCACAAACACCACAUAAUCACUCUUUUAUAGUCAUUGAAUCCAUUGUUCCAGGAUGAUUUGAGGAAAACGCUAUAGUAGGAAAAAUAGAGGUAAAUCUCCAGGUGCUGGUGUCCUCCAAAAUUUUGGCAUGUACUUUUGUGUCUACAAGUUGUGUUGACAGAAUUCAGCUGAAAAGUUAUUGCAUACAGUCAAAACUAAUUUUUCCAACAAACACUGAUGUCUUUAUGGAACUGU
This 1138-nucleotide long non-coding RNA is filed under the name Marmota monax (woodchuck). The record is from RNAcentral. Lineage: Eukaryota; Metazoa; Chordata; Mammalia; Rodentia; Sciuridae.